Molecule: long non-coding RNA, 1433 nt
Filed under: Felis catus (domestic cat)
Lineage: Eukaryota; Metazoa; Chordata; Mammalia; Carnivora; Felidae
Description: lncRNA (ENSFCAG00000050082.1)
Source: RNAcentral
CUCCAUUCUUCCCUGCCGAUUCCUUGCCUCCAAAGUGAGAAGGCCCGAUUCUGCAGGGGCGGAGCUCUGGUCUGAGCAGGACCAGCGGGAAGCCACUGUCGCUCCUGAGGCUGGGUCGGUGCCAACAGGGCCUGGGGCUGCCCCAGGGGGACCUCACCUCCGCCCCCGGCACAGAACAGGUUCACGCAGGAUAGUCCGGAUGCAGGCCCCCGGUUCACCGCUCAGCCCACCUGAAUCUGAAGGACUAACGCAUUCCGGGUUAUGGCACCACCAGACGGAAAGACAAAGGCUGGUCACCUGAGUAAGUGCAGCGAAAGUAUAGAUAUACGUCAGAUAUGUUAGUCUUAAGUAAACAGUACGGGGGACCAGGCCUAGGAGAAGGUCUAUUUGGGAGCUGCAGUUUCAGGGGCCGUGUGCACAGGGGACCAGGCUGGGCUCACGGAGAAGGUCUAUUCUGGGGCUGGAGUUUCAGGGUCCAUGUGCACAGGGGACCCGGCUGGGCUCAUGCAGAAGGUCUGUUCUGGGGCCAGGGUGUGCAGGGCCGUGUGCACAGGGGACCCGGCUGGGUUCAUGGAGAAGGUCUAUUCUGGGGCUGGAGUUUCAGGGGCCAUGUGCACAGGGGGAUCCGGCUGGGUUCAUGGAGAAGGUCUAUUUGGGGGCUGGAGUUUCAGGGGCCGUGUGCACAGAGGACCCGGCUGGGCUCAUGGAGAAGGUUUAUUCUGGGGCUGGAGUGUGCGUGGGUCAUGUGCACAGGGGACCCAGCUGGGCUCAUGCAGAAGAUGUAUUCUGGGGCCAAGGUGUGCAGGGCCAUGUGCACAGGGGACCCAGCUGGGCUCAUGCAGAAGGUCUGUUCUGGGGCCAAGGUGUGCACGGGCCGUGUGCACAGGGGACCCAGCUGGGCUCACGGAGAAGGUCUAUUCUGGGGCUGGAGUGUGCAGGGCCGUGUGCACAGGCGACCCGGCUGGGCUCAUGCAGAAGGUGUAUUCUGGGGCCAAGGUGUGCAGGGCCGUGUGCACAGAGGGACCCAGCUGGGCUCACGGAGAAGGUCUCUUCUGGGGCUGGAGUUUCAGGGUCCAUGUGCACAGGCGACCCGGCUGGGCUCAUGCAGAAGGUGUAUUCUGGGGCCAAGGUGUGCAGGGCCGUGUGCACAGGGGAUCCGGCUGGGAUCACAGAGAAGGUCCCUUCUGGGGCUGGAGCUUCAGGGUCCAUGUGCACAAGGGGACCAGGCUGGGCGGAGAAGGUCUGAGUCUGUCCAGUGCCAGCUGUGCCUCCUGCCUCACCCACCGUCUCCCCACUUUCUCUUCCCCGUUUCUGUCCUCUUUUCCUCUACCAUCGAGACGCGCACACCCUGUCCUGGUUGGGGUGCCUCCCGUCACCCUCAGGACAAAAGCCCCCCCACUGGAGACCCUCCCCCCCGCCCCCGGCACGCUCCA